Molecule: ribosomal RNA, 520 nt
Filed under: uncultured Glomus
Lineage: Eukaryota; Fungi; Glomeromycota; Glomeromycetes; Glomerales; Glomeraceae
Description: SSU rRNA
Rfam family: Eukaryotic small subunit ribosomal RNA
Source: RNAcentral
AGCAGCCGCGGUAAUUCCAGCUCCAAUAGCGUAUAUUAAAGUUGUUGCAGUUAAAAAGCUCGUAGUUGAAUUUCGGGAUCAAGUCGUCGGUCGUGCCUCGGUACGCACUGGUGACAUUGGUUUCUCCCUUCUGAAGAACCUUGAUGUCAUUAAUUUGGUGUCUUGGGGAAUCAGGACUGUUACUUUGAAAAAAUUAGAGUGUUUAAAGCAAGCCCACGCUUGAAUACAUUAGCAUGGAAUAAUGAAAUAGGACGUUUGAUUCUAUUUUGUUGGUUUCUAGGAUCGACGUAAUGAUUAAUAGGGAUAGUUGGGGGCAUUAGUAUUCAAUUGUCAGAGGUGAAAUUCUUGGAUUUAUUGAAGACUAACUACUGCGAAAGCAUUUGCCAAGGAUGUUUUCAUUAAUCAAGAACGAAAGUUAGGGGAUCGAAGACGAUCAGAUACCGUCGUAGUCUUAACCAUAAACUAUGCCGACUAGGGAUCGGAUGAUGUUAAUUUUUAAUGACUCAUUCGGCGCCUUACG